Molecule: ribosomal RNA, 468 nt
Filed under: uncultured bacterium
Lineage: Bacteria
Description: partial 16S ribosomal RNA
Rfam family: Bacterial small subunit ribosomal RNA
Source: RNAcentral
GAAGAAAGAGGGAGGCGGGCGGAACACAUGCAAGUCGAACGGAAAGGCCCUGCUUUUGUGGGGUGCUCGAGUGGCGAACGGGUGAGUAACACGUGAGUAACCUGCCCUUGACUUUGGGAUAACUUCAGGAAACUGGGGCUAAUACCGGAUAGGAGCUCCUGCUGCAUGGUGGGGGUUGGAAAGUUUCGGCGGUUGGGGAUGGACUCGCGGCUUAUCAGCUUGUUGGUGGGGUAGUGGCUUACCAAGGCUUUGACGGGUAGCCGGCCUGAGAGGGUGACCGGCCACAUUGGGACUGAGAUACGGCCCAGACUCCUACGGGAGGCAGCAGUGGGGAAUAUUGCACAAUGGGCGGAAGCCUGAUGCAGCAACGCCGCGUGCGGGAUGACGGCCUUCGGGUUGUAAACCGCUUUCGCCUGUGACGAAGCGUGAGUGACGGUAAUGGGUAAAGAAGCACCGGCUAACUACGUG